This 492-nucleotide ribosomal RNA is filed under the name uncultured bacterium. Its description in RNAcentral is "partial 16S ribosomal RNA". It matches the Rfam family "Bacterial small subunit ribosomal RNA", at positions 29 to 507 of the family's 1533-position model. The record is from RNAcentral.
AGUGAACGCUGGCGGUAGGCCUAACACAUGCAAGUCGAACGGCAGCACAGUAAGAGCUUGCUCUUACGGGUGGCGAGUGACGGACGGGUGAGGACUACAUCGGAAUCUACUUUUUCGUGGGGGAUAACGUAGGGAAACUUACGCUAAUACCGCAUACGACCUACGGGUGAAAGCAGGGGAUCUUCGGACCUUGCGCGAUUGAAUGAGCCGAUGUCGGAUUAGCUAGUUGGCGGGGUAAAGGCCCACCAAGGCGACGAUCCGUAGCUGGUCUGAGAGGAUGAUCAGCCACACUGGAACUGAGACACGGUCCAGACUCCUACGGGAGGCAGCAGUGGGGAAUAUUGGACAAUGGGCGCAAGCCUGAUCCAGCCAUACCGCGUGGGUGAAGAAGGCCUUCGGGUUGUAAAGCCCUUUUGUUGGGAAAGAAAAGCAGCAGGUUAAUACCCCGCUGUUCUGACGGUACCCAAAGAAUAAGCACCGGCUAACUUCGUG